This 444-nucleotide ribosomal RNA is filed under the name uncultured bacterium. Its description in RNAcentral is "bacterial SSU rRNA". It matches the Rfam family "Bacterial small subunit ribosomal RNA", at positions 335 to 795 of the family's 1533-position model. The record is from RNAcentral.
ACUCCUACGGGAGGCAGCAGCAGGGAAUAUUGCACAAUGGACGGAAGUCUGAUGCAGCGACGCCGCGUGGACGAAGAAGGCCUUCGGGUUGUAAAGUCCUUUUCAGGGGGAAGAGAGAGGACGGUACCCUUGGAAUAAGCGUCGGCUAACUACGUGCCAGCAGCCGCGGUAAGACGUAGGACGCGAGCGUUAUCCGGAUUUACUGGGCGUAAAGCGUCUGUAGGCGGGACAGUGAGUUGGGCGUGAAAGCUUCGGGCUUAACCCGGAGAGGACGUACAAGACUGCUGAACUAGAGGCCACCAGAGGGGCGUGGAAUUUCCGGUGUAGCGGUAAAAUGCGCAGAUAUCGGAAGGAACACCAGUGGCGAAGGCGGCGCCCUGGGGUGGGCCUGACGCUAAGAGACGAAAGCUAGGGGAGCGAACAGGAUUAGAUACCCUGGUAGUC